This 253-nucleotide ribosomal RNA is filed under the name uncultured bacterium. Its description in RNAcentral is "partial 16S ribosomal RNA". It matches the Rfam family "Bacterial small subunit ribosomal RNA", at positions 524 to 776 of the family's 1533-position model. The record is from RNAcentral.
UACGUAGGGGGCUAGCGUUGUCCGGAAUCAUUGGGCGUAAAGAGCGUGUAGGCGGUCCGGUAAGUCCGCUGUGAAAGUCGGGGGCUCAACCCUCGAAUGCCGGUGGAUACUGUCGGGCUAGAGUGCGGAAGAGACGAGUGGAAUUCCUGGUGUAGCGGUGAAAUGCGUAGAUAUCUGGAGGAACACCGGUGGCGAAGGCGGCAUCCUGGACCAACACUGACACUGAGGAGCGAAAGCCAGGGGAGCAAACGGG